GUCUGAGGCAGUAUGCGAGUGAAGACUGCUGCGAUUCUACUCUGUCUGUUACUUUCUCCAAACGGGCAUUUCAGAUCUCUCUGGUCUAAAGUGUGACUUCCACAGGUCCGGAACCGCCUUGACUGUUAUUUGAGAAUUGUUGGAGGCAAGAUAUAGAUAACCACCCCUGGUUGACCAUAUUUCUACCUCUGCCCAGUGAGCGCUUCCUGCCCAGGACCAGCUGGCUUGUGAGUGGAUUGGAAUGGACAAUAGAAUGUAAAGCCCACAUUCACUUUACCUUCAGUUGGACAUUUAUUACAAACUAGCACUUCAAUAUGGACACCUGACUCUUCACUUGGAUUUUCUGGAUGUUUUGAAGAUGGAGACCUAGCUCGAUCCCAGAUCUUUUAUGCAGUCGGUGUGACAAUGACCACACGGAUUUGCUAAGAUGGCACCAACGGAUAUGGGAUCAGGCUAAUGGAAACCCACUGUACCCACAUUCAGCUGGUCGUCUACCUGCCAUUCCGAGAGGUGCAGCUGGAGUUGGUGGAGCCAGCUAAGUGCAAGUAUGUUCUCCAGACCCUGAGACCCCCACAGCAGGCCCGCUGUGUGCUGGACUAGAGAGAGAGAGGCGGGACUCUGGGGGUCCUCUGAUCUACCCCAGAGAGGAUGGCCACUGGGCCAUGGUGGGGGUCACCUCCUGGGUAAAGGCUGUGGCCGGAGCCAGAUCAACAACAAGGCCGAGUCCCCAGCCAAGAUAGGAUCCCCGGGGGUCUUUACUGAUGUCAAGAUGCUCCUGCCCUGGAUCGAGAGGAAACUCGGAAAGUCAUCUAACACGUUUUAGUCAGUGUGAGCCAUGCAGGUCUACAAUUAACCUUUACUGUAUGAUGUGACUGUCGUCUUUGAACAGUGCAUUUGAUGCUGAUUGUGUGUGUACUGUGCUGCAGGACUUUGCAGUGAGGGAUGGGCCUGUGAGGGUCUCAAACCCAAACCUUACAGUCUGUCUCGACAACAACGAGUGGGUGUCAGUGUACAGGCCCGUUGCAUAGGGGGAGGGAGAGCUGUGCUGAAUUGAAUGCACUUUAAUUAAAUACGCUUUUAGGCCAAUUUACUCACCACUUGACAGCUGUCAUGGGCAGCAGGUAGCCAAGCUGUUAGACAGGCGAGCAGGCAGCCAGAGGGUUGCUGUUAUCAAAUCCUAGAUUCCAUUUCCUCUGUUGUGCCCUUGAGCAAGGCACUUAAUGCCUCACAACAACAGCCCCUGGGCGCCCAGUGUGGAAGCCCCCCCACACCUCUCCAAAAACCUGUAUGCAUGUACUGUAAGUCAAAUUUUGGUUGGACCUUGUGUGCAAUUGACCAAUAAAGUGAUCUUAAUCAGUUUAGUCAAAAGGUGGAAUACUUGUGACAGUUUUUUUCACAAAGUAAUAGAUUGACCCUGUAGGAAUAGAUAUACCUUAGAUGAAACUGUUCUUGGAACAUCAAAUGCAUCCAAUCAGUUUUCCAUACUGAUUCUUUGUCUCUGUCUCUCUCUGUGUAUAGUGGCAAGAAAAAGUAUGUGAACCCUUGGAUUUAAUAACUGGUUGACCCUCCUUUGGCAGUAAUAACCUCAACCAAAUGUUUUCUGUAGUUGUGGAUCAGACCUGCAGAAUGGUCAGAAUGAAUUUUGAACUAGUCCUCUUUCAGUUCAGCAAUAUUCUUGGGAUGUCUGGUGUGAACCGCUCUCUUGAGGUCAUGCCACAGCAUCUCAAUCGGGUUGAGGUCAGUACUCUGACUGGGCCACUCCAGAAGGCGUAUUUUCUUCUGUUGAAG
Molecule: long non-coding RNA, 1788 nt
Organism: Oncorhynchus tshawytscha (Chinook salmon)
Lineage: Eukaryota; Metazoa; Chordata; Actinopteri; Salmoniformes; Salmonidae
Source: Ensembl